Molecule: ribosomal RNA, 497 nt
Filed under: uncultured bacterium
Lineage: Bacteria
Description: partial 16S ribosomal RNA
Rfam family: Bacterial small subunit ribosomal RNA
Source: RNAcentral
GACGAACGCUGGCGGCGUGCCUAAUACAUGCAAGUUGAGCGAUGAAGAUUGGUGCUUGCACCAAUUUGAAGAGCAGCGAACGGGUGAGUAACGCGUGGGGAAUCUGCCUUUGAGCGGGGGACAACAUUUGGAAACGAAUGCUAAUACCGCAUAACAACUUUAAACAUAAGCUUUAAGUUUGAAAGAUGCAAUUGCAUCACUCAAAGAUGAUCCCGCGUUGUAUUAGCUAGUUGGUGAGGUAAAGGCUCACCAAGGCGAUGAUACAUAGCCGACCUGAGAGGGUGAUCGGCCACAUUGGGACUGAGACACGGCCCAAAAUCCUACGGGAGGCAGCAGUAGGGAAUCUUCGGCAAUGGACGAAAGUCUGACCGAGCAACGCUGCGUGAGUGAAGAAGGUUUUCGGAUCGUAAAACUCUGUUGGUAGAGAAGAACGUUGGUGAGAGUGGAAAGCUCAUCAAGUGACGGUAACUACCCAGAAAGGGACGGCUAACUACGUG